CGGCUCUAGGCACACAACUAUAUUUUUUGGGUACAAGUACCCCCAGGACUUGAUAGAAGGAAACUGACAAAACAUGACAUCUUGAAUUCACGACUAACAUCAACAUCAUAGCAUGUAUUCAAGUAUACAUAAUUGAGGACUUCAUACUAACAUAUAACAAUCCAUUCAACAAGGGAUGCACAAGGAUAAGAACGCACACAACAUACUAUAAUUCAUUCACUAUGGUCUGUCAACAAACACUUGACGUGCAUGGCCUAUACUAAAUUUAGGGGUUUCUAGGCAAUAUGCUAUAAUAACCUAAUUUCCUUCACACAAGCAUUUUAUCAAACACAUGGGGAGCAUGCUUUGGUCAUAUAACAAUUUCCACACCUAAUUCUCAUGGAUAAUCAAUCAACAUACAACUUGAAGGGAUUUAUCAUGAACAUCACAUAAUUAUUACAAAAUAGGGUCAAAGUUUGCAACUUUAUAAUCAUAUCAUGAAUUAAAACUCAACAACAACGUAACCUUCAAACUCUAUUCACAUAGACCAUGGAAAACACAUAAAUUUAAAAUCUUGAAUUUAGAAAAAGGGAUUCUUGAACUUCUUGGGCAGAAGGGACCCAAGAAUCAACACUUGCAUACCUGGAUAUUAAAUUCUUGAAAGAUUUACGGAGGAACCUUGAUGGUUGGGUCUUGAAUUAUGAACCCAAAUAGUUGUUCUUGAAGAAAAUUGAGAGAAACUAACAAUAUCUGGGUGAAAUUAUGAGGAAUCUUGUGUUAAAGGGUAUAUAUAGGGGUCGGAAGGUUAUAAUUUUGCCCUUGGAAACACGGAGCUAAAUACAGGAUUUUGGCCCAAGGCUAUAGGCAGGGCGACGCCUUGGCUAGAGCACUGCGAUAACCAGGGAGGCACCUUGCUAUAGCGGUGCUAUGACCAGGGCGACGCCUUGGUAUUUGCAGUGCUGAAAGCUGGGCGACGCCUUGAGAUUACCCUGAGCUACUAUUUUUGAAAUCCAAACGUGCCCUUAUGCUAUUCAAAAAAUUCCAAAACUUAUUCGAGAUGUACUACGACCUUGCGCCAUCACAACGCAACCUGAAAAUCUAAAAACGGAGGUCAGGAAGGUUAUGAAAUAAUUCAUCGAAGUUAGCAAGCUUAUGGAAUGAAGAAAGUUUCAACACUUAGCCAAAUUUUUAAGUGCUAAGUUUCUCUUGAAAAGCUUAAAGGGGCCUUAACGACUCAAAAAAUUUAUGGGGUAUUACAAUAGGGUAUAAACCCAUACUUCAAUUUCAUAAGAAAACAUAGAAAAUCAUAUGUUCUCGUAAUUAAAACAACUUUUGGGCACAAGGAAGAAAGAAGUGUCCUUAUUCAAACCCCGCAUACCUUAGAUUAUGACUUGGAUGAACAAAUUUAUUUGAGACUUUUCUUAUUACUCUUGAGAGAGGGUUCUUAAAGCCUUUGACUUGGGAACCUUGAAUCUUAACUCAAUUUGUAAAAUCUAUGGAGGAUUCUUGAGUUUCUUGGAAGAAGAUUUAGAUUUGUUCUUAAGGGAGAAACCCUAGCUUUGGAGAUGUUUUGGGUGAAUAAUGAAGUUAGAUGAUUCGAUCUGGGUAUAUCAAGGUAUAGAAAGGGUGGAAAAAGACCAAAACGUCCUUUUUAAAAUGACUUAAAAUUAUUGAUCGGGAUAUGCGACGGUGGGGUGAGACGGUCCGUCGGUCCUGACCGUCGCACCUGGGCCAGAACUUGGUUCACUACCUCGCCUGCGACGAUGGGUGCAACGGUCCAUCGAGGACCCGACAGUCCAUCGGCCCUUAUCGUCGCACUAAACCAGAAUGGGGCCUCGCAAGCUUGACGGUCCGUCGGCCCUCUCCGUCGCACCUGGCGAUUUCACUGCUUUCUCUUUCGAUGUCGGAUUUUGACGAAAUAGAUAUCGUUGGAAAGAUAAUUCAAUUUUCCACACUAUAGAAAGCCAUUUUUAGAAAAAUUCAACAAGGUUUAAACACCAAUUACUUUGGAAGUCACUCUGUAAUCUUUUAAGACCGAAAUUACGCUUCACUUGAUAUGCUCUAAAGGCUCAGACUACGAGGGAACUUUGUGGGGUCUUACAUGCUGCUUCUAGCUAUGGAGUUCAGCCUCAUAUGCAAUACCAAAAUCCACAAAUGCAGGGUGGGGCAAGACCACAAGGUGAUGGUGCACCAUACAUAGGUAUGGAGGUCACUAGAAAGACUUAAGUUGUGAUUUUGUUUUCAUUCCCCUCAUGUUGGUUUCUAUUGCUUAUAUAGUUCAUAUGGAAUUUCUUACUAUGAUCUAGAUUGGUUCAUGGGAUUAAUAAUUGAUUAGUUUGUAUUCAUUGCAUGCAUCUACAUUAAGGGAUUAUCAUAAUCCAACUUAAGGUGCUUGCUUGACUUACAUAAGCUAGUAGGUGGAUCACUUACUUGAGCUAUUUGGACCAAGUUAAUGGACCCAAGGUUAUGGACCGGAUUUGAUCCUAUGUUAAGGUACUCAUUUAGGCCUAACUUAAGUAAAAGAAAAGGAAAUGAAAAAAGACCCAACACUCAAAUCUACAAAGGCUCAUUUUAGUUUAGCCCAACUAUGAAUUAAAUAAGUAUGUACAUAACCUACUAAGACUUCCUUUUACCAACUUAUUGGGCCAAAUACACUACCACAUACUUGAAUUAACUUUGACCCAAGUUAAAGGAAAGAAAAGAAGGAGAAUGGGCAACAAAGGCCCAAUAGUUUUGGAUCCACAAAAGCCCAAUAUAUUGGGCAAGUAUAUAUAUCAUUUACUUGAAAAAAUAUAGACCAAAAAUAGUCAAUAAGUCGUCCAAGAGCAGCUUCUAUAUAUGGAUUGAAAAUCAGCAAUUUUUUUGUCAUUUCAACUUAGACAAAAAUUUCAGCUUUCUAGGUUUUUCUCUCUUGUUCUCUCUUGGCUAUGAAGUAACCCUAUCGUUCCACAAGGGUUCUUGGGAUUGACUUUCCUUCCAAGCUAAAGCAAUUAAGCUAUUGAAGAAAUACACAUUAAGGACUAAACUACCAAGAAAAUCAAGAUAAGUAAUCUAAAAGGGCGGAGAGUCGAGUUGGUAUGGUAUUGGAGUUUUACAACCAGGUAUGUAAGGCAUACUCUAUUUUGCACUCUUGGCAUGAAAACGGACACUUGUUCCUACGAGCAAGCUCCCAAGAUUAUCUUAUAACACGUGAUACAUAAUAGCACUGUAUGAUAGUCCAUGUUACUAAUGAACUUUUUCCCACUCUCUAAUGAGUUAAAACACCCCAAUACACACUUGCUACCAAUCCUACAUGUCUAUUUUCACUAGUAAAUUUUAGAAUUUCUCCAGUUACUCAAAUAAGACCCAUGUGUUAUUUUUAGCUCCUAAACACUUCAUUAGCGUGCAAACAACUCCUUACUUCAUUGUUACUGCAUUGAUUGCCUAUUUAAAUGUCUCUUAUUGAUAGAUCAUUGUUUCAAGGUACCAUAAUGUUAUGACCACUGAAGUAACAAUCUCAAAGGCUAAUUAAACUAAGUAACGAAAAUUUGUAAAACGGGUGGCAGCUCAGGGGCAUAAGCCUAGCAUGGGCUGAUCCUGAUACUUUAUAUGUGGGUGGCAGCUCAGGGGCGUAAGCCUAGCAUGGACCGAUCCCAAUGUUUAUUUAUAGGUGGCAGCUCAGGGGCAUAAGCCUAGCAUAGACCGAUCCUGAUUUGUUAUUUACCACUGAUCAACUGGUCAUUUGUAUCAUAUGGAUUACAAAGAUAAUGAAGUAAAAAGGUAAAAGAAGGAAAGAAAUGUAAUGUACCCAGUUCCACAAGUAAAUGUAAAGGUGGUCUCUAGCACUAUUUUUACACUUGCUCCAGAUUUUUAUUGAACCUUUGUAUCUUGUAUUGUUACUUUUUUGCCUUGCAUACUCAGUACAUAUUUUCGUACUGACUCCCCUUAUGGGGGACCUCUAUUUCAUGCUACAAGCACAGGUGCUUUGGCAAACACGUCUCCUCAGUAGGAGCUCAGGAUAUCCAGCUGCUAUUGGUGAGCUCCAAUUUGAUUCGGGGCUUUCCAAGUUGGUUCCAUAUAUUUUUGGUAUUGUAUAAAAGUUAAUAGUAUGACGGGGUUUGUCCCGACCUUAGCUAAGUUCUAUGUAUCAUCUUCAAGUUUCCCAUGGUUGAAAUUGACAAGAAAUGAUUGUCCACCUCCGUUUGGAGACCUUGAGCUAAAAGGUCCAGCCGUGGACUUUAUGAAAGAGCAAGGUAUGUUUGCUCAUCAUGGUAAUUAGUGUCUCAAAGUUAGUUUAUGUUUAUUUAUUUAUCAAUACGCUCCAAUCUUUCACAUUUUCUUUUAAUCA
This is a long non-coding RNA of Capsicum annuum, 4306 nucleotides long. RefSeq lists it as uncharacterized. The record is from RefSeq and is a predicted model, not a curated record. NCBI's taxonomy places the organism in Eukaryota, Viridiplantae, Streptophyta, Magnoliopsida, Solanales, Solanaceae. The transcript has 3 exons.